GCUUCGGUGGCGAAGUUGGUUAACGCACCUUCCUGGCAAGAAGGAGGCCCAGGUUCAACUCCUGGCCGAAGCA
Molecule: transfer RNA, 73 nt
Filed under: Copidosoma floridanum
Lineage: Eukaryota; Metazoa; Arthropoda; Insecta; Hymenoptera; Encyrtidae
Description: tRNA-Ala
Rfam family: tRNA
About the family: Transfer RNA (tRNA) molecules are approximately 80 nucleotides in length. Their secondary structure includes four short double-helical elements and three loops (D, anti-codon, and T loops).
Source: RNAcentral